AUUGAACGCUGGCGGAAUGCUUUACACAUGCAAGUCGAGCGGCAGCGCGGCCUUCGGGCUGGCGGCGAGCGGCGAACGGGUGAGUAAUGCAUCGGAACAUGCCCAGUCGUGGGGGAUAACACUUCGAAAGAAGUGCUAAUACCGCAUACGUCCUGAGGGGGAAAGCGGGGGAUCGCAAGACCUCGCGCGAUUGGAGUGGCCGAUGUCAGAUUAGCUAGUUGGUGGGGUAAAGGCCUACCAAGGCGACGAUCUGUAGCUGGUCUGAGAGGAUGAUCAGCCACACUGGGACUGAGACACGGCCCAGACUCCUACGGGAGGCCGCAGUGGGGAAUUUUGGACAAUGGAGGCAACCCUGAUCCAGCCAUUCCGCGUGAGUGAAGAAGGCCUUCGGGUUGUAAAGCUCUUUCGGCAGGAACGAAACGGUGGGCUCUAACAUAGUCCGCUAAUGACGGUACCUGAAGAAGAAGCACCGGCUAACUACGUG
RNAcentral lists this ribosomal RNA (484 nucleotides) under uncultured bacterium. Its description in RNAcentral is "partial 16S ribosomal RNA". It matches the Rfam family "Bacterial small subunit ribosomal RNA", at positions 30 to 507 of the family's 1533-position model. The record is from RNAcentral.